GACGAACGCUGGCGGCGUGCCUAAUACAUGCAAGUCGAACGCUGAAGGCGGAGCUUGCUUCUCUGGAUGAGUUGCGAACGGGUGAGUAACGCGUAGGUAACCUGCCUGGUAGUGGGGGAUAACUACUGGAAACGAUAGCUAAUACCGCAUAAUAGUAGCUGUUGCAUGACAUUUGCUUAAAAGGUGCAAUUGCAUCACUACCAGAUGGACCUGCGUUGUAUUGGCUAGUUGUUGGGGUAACGGCUCACCUAGGCGACGAUACAGAGUCGACCUGAGACGGGGGGCAGCCAGACUGAGAGUGGGACACGGCCCAGUGUGCUUCAGGUGGCAGCAAGAGUGCAUCGGCGGGAAGGAGUGGAAGACUGACCGAGCAACGCCGCGGGAGUAAAGAGGGUUGUCGGGUCGUAGAUCACGGUUGUAGGGGAGGAACGAGUUUUAGAGUGUAAAGUACAGACUGUGACGGUAACUUACCAGGAAGGAACGGCUAACUACGUG
RNAcentral lists this ribosomal RNA (495 nucleotides) under uncultured bacterium. RNAcentral's name for it is "partial 16S ribosomal RNA". It matches the Rfam family "Bacterial small subunit ribosomal RNA", at positions 28 to 507 of the family's 1533-position model. The record is from RNAcentral.